This 277-nucleotide ribosomal RNA is filed under the name uncultured bacterium. RNAcentral's name for it is "partial 16S ribosomal RNA". It matches the Rfam family "Bacterial small subunit ribosomal RNA", at positions 28 to 307 of the family's 1533-position model. The record is from RNAcentral.
GAUAAACGCUGGCGGCGUGCCUAAUGCAUGCAAGUCGCACGGAUCGUCUCUUCGGAGGCGGUGAGUGGCGAACGGGUGAGGAACGCGUGGACAACCUACCCCGGCGUGGGGGAUACCCGCCAGAAAUGGCGGCUAAUACCGCGUACGGUUCUCUGGCGAGGGGCUGGGGAAAGAAAGCAGUGAUGCGCGCUGGGAGGGGUCUGCGGCCGAUUAGCUGGUUGGCGGGGUAACGGCCCACCAAGGCGAUGAUCGGUAGCUGGUCUGAGAGGAUGAUCAG